Molecule: ribosomal RNA, 407 nt
Filed under: uncultured Snowella sp.
Lineage: Bacteria; Bacillati; Cyanobacteriota; Cyanophyceae; Synechococcales; Coelosphaeriaceae
Description: bacterial SSU rRNA
Rfam family: Bacterial small subunit ribosomal RNA
Source: RNAcentral
GGGGAAUUUUCCGCAAUGGGCGAAAGCCUGACGGAGCAAUACCGCGUGAGGGAGGAAGGUUCUUGGAUUGUAAACCUCUUUUCUAGGGGAAGAAGAAAGUGACGGUACCCUAGGAAUAAGCAUCGGCUAACUCCGUGCCAGCAGCCGCGGUAAUACGGAGGAUGCAAGCGUUAUCCGGAAUCAUUGGGCGUAAAGCGUCCGUAGGUGGUUUAUCAAGUCUGCCGUCAAAGAAUGGAGCUUAACUCCAUAGAGGCGGUGGAAACUGAGAGACUAGAGUACAGUAGGGGUAGCAGGAAUUCCCAGUGUAGCGGUGAAAUGCGUAGAUAUUGGGAAGAACAUCGGUGGCGAAAGCGUGCUACUGGGCUGAAACUGACACUGAGGGACGAAAGCUAGGGUAGCGAAAGGGA